UACGUAGGGUGCAAGCGUUGUCCGGAAUUAUUGGGCGUAAAGAGCUCGUAGGCGGUUUGUCGCGUCGGCCGUGAAAUCUCCACGCUUAACGUGGAGCGUGCGGUCGAUACGGGCAGACUUGAGUUCGGUAGGGGAGACUGGAAUUCCUGGUGUAGCGGUGAAAUGCGCAGAUAUCAGGAGGAACACCGGUGGCGAAGGCGGUUCUCUGGGCAUGUCCUGACGCUGAGGAGCGAAAGUGUGGGGAGCGAACAGG
RNAcentral lists this ribosomal RNA (253 nucleotides) under uncultured bacterium. Its description in RNAcentral is "partial 16S ribosomal RNA". It matches the Rfam family "Bacterial small subunit ribosomal RNA", at positions 524 to 776 of the family's 1533-position model. The record is from RNAcentral.